This 104-nucleotide small nuclear RNA is filed under the name Aotus nancymaae (Ma's night monkey). The record is from RNAcentral. Lineage: Eukaryota; Metazoa; Chordata; Mammalia; Primates; Aotidae.
GUGCUUGCUUUGGCAGCACAUAUACUAAAAUUGGAAUGAUACAGAGAUUAGCAUGACCCCUGUGCAAGGAUGACAUGCAAAUUCAUGAAGCACUCCAUAUGUUU